GAUGAACGCUAGCGAUAGGCCUAACACAUGCAAGUCGAGGGGCAUCACAUGAAGUAGCAAUACGGAUGGUGGCGACCGGCGCACGGGUGAGUAACACGUAUGCAACCUGCCUUCAACAAGGGGAUAACCCGUUGAAAGACGGACUAAUACCCUAUAACACAGGGGUCCCGCAUGGGAAUAUUUGUUAAAGGACAACCGGUUGAAGAUGGGCAUGCGUUCCAUUAGCUAGUUGGCGGGGUAACGGCCCACCAAGGCAACGAUGGAUAGGGGAACUGAGAGGUUUAUCCCCCACACUGGUACUGAGACACGGACCAGACUCCUACGGGAGGCAGCAGUGAGGAAUAUUGGUCAAUGGACGCAAGUCUGAACCAGCCACGUCGCGUGAAGGAAGACGGCCCUACGGGUUGUAAACUUCUUUUAUACGGGAAUAAAGUGCCCCACGCGUGGGGUUUUGCAUGUCCGUA
RNAcentral lists this ribosomal RNA (464 nucleotides) under uncultured bacterium. Its description in RNAcentral is "bacterial SSU rRNA". It matches the Rfam family "Bacterial small subunit ribosomal RNA", at positions 28 to 482 of the family's 1533-position model. The record is from RNAcentral.